This 301-nucleotide ribosomal RNA is filed under the name uncultured bacterium. Its description in RNAcentral is "partial 16S ribosomal RNA". It matches the Rfam family "Bacterial small subunit ribosomal RNA", at positions 509 to 807 of the family's 1533-position model. The record is from RNAcentral.
CAGCCGCCACGGGAAUACGUAGGGCGCAAGCGUUAUCCGGAAUUAUUGGGCGUAAAGAGCUCGUAGGCGGUUUGUCGCGUCUGCCGUGAAAGUCCGGGGCUCAACCCCGGAUCUGCGGUGGGUACGGGCAGACUAGAGUGAUGUAGGGGAGACUGGAAUUCCUGGUGUAGCGGUGAAAUGCGCAGAUAUCAGGAGGAACACCGAUGGCGAAGGCAGGUCUUUGGGCAUUAACUGACGCUGAGGAGCGAAAGCAUGGGGAGCGAACAGGAUUAGAUACCCCCGUAGUCCCUGUCUCUUAUAC